This is an RNA transcript of Sceloporus undulatus (fence lizard), 4251 nucleotides long. It is a transcript of the gene named leucine rich repeat containing 8 VRAC subunit C, with no coding region annotated. The transcript is spliced from 4 exons. Lineage: Eukaryota; Metazoa; Chordata; Lepidosauria; Squamata; Phrynosomatidae. The record is from RefSeq and is a predicted model, not a curated record.
GAGGUCUGUCUGCUGCGUGGAAGAGCAGGGCGUGGCCUCCGGAGGAGGAGGAGGAGCAGGAGAGGAGCGGCAGUGGCGCCUGGCUAGUCCUUGGAUGGCAUCCCUGCUGCUCAGCUCGGGGGAUGCGAUGGAGGAGGAGGAUCCCCGGCGCCUCCGGUGACCGCAGCUCCAGAGGAAGAGGAGGAAGAGGAGGAGAACAAUGAUUCCUGUCACUGAAUUCCGCCAGUUCUCCGAGCAACAACCAGCCUUCCGGGUCCUGAAGCCAUGGUGGGAUGUAUUUACGGACUAUCUGUCUGUUGCCAUGCUAAUGAUAGGCGUGUUUGGUUGCACAUUACAGGUUAUGCAAGACAAGAUCAUAUGUCUUCCAAAAAGAGUACAGCCUUCUCAGAACAGUUCCCACCUUCCUAAUGUCUCAAGCUUGGACACCAGUGCAGUCCCAUUACUUCCACCCAAACCAUCCACACCUCCUGCUACUGUUGAAAUGAAGGGUCUAAAGACGGACUUAGAUCUCCAACAGUAUAGUUUUAUAAAUCAAAUGUGCUAUGAGCGUGCUCUGCACUGGUAUGCAAAGUACUUCCCCUAUCUGGUCCUUAUACACACACUGAUCUUCAUGCUGUGUAGCAACUUCUGGUUCAAGUUUCCUGGGUCAAGCUCCAAAAUUGAACAUUUUAUCUCCAUUUUGGGGAAGUGCUUUGACUCUCCUUGGACCACAAGGGCUUUAUCUGAAGUUUCGGGUGAAGACUCUGAAGAGAAGGACAAUAGAAAGAACAAUAUUAGCAAGUCAAACACUAUCCAGCCCAGUGCAGAAGGAACUCUGGUAAAGACUCAGUCUUUGAGAUCCAUACCUGAGAAGUUUGUUGUGGAUAAGGGGACACCAGGAGCACUGGAUAAAAAAGAAGGAGAACAGGCCAAGGCAUUGUUUGAGAAGGUGAAGAAGUUCCGACUUCAUGUAGAAGAAGGUGAUCUUCUCUAUGCUAUGUACGUUCGCCAAACUGUGCUGAAGGUGAUUAAAUUUCUUAUCAUUAUUGCAUAUAAUAGUGCUCUUGUUUCAAAAGUUCAGUUUACAGUAGACUGCAAUGUUGAUAUUCAAGACAUGACAGGAUACAAGCACUUCUCUUGCAAUCACACGAUGGCACAUUUGUUCUCUAAACUUUCCUUCUGUUACUUGUGCUUUGUAAGUAUCUAUGGAUUCACAUGCCUUUACACUUUGUAUUGGUUGUUUUACCGCUCACUAAAGGAAUACUCUUUUGAGUAUGUCCGACAGGAGACAGGAAUUGACGACAUCCCAGAUGUCAGAAAUGACUUUGCUUUCAUGCUUCAUAUGAUAGACCAAUAUGACCCUCUUUAUUCCAAAAGGUUUGCUGUGUUUCUUUCAGAGGUCAGUGAAAACAAACUAAAGCAACUUAAUCUAAACAAUGAGUGGACUGCAGAUAAAUUGAGGCAAAGGCUGCAGAUGAAUUCCCAUAACCGUUUGGAGCUGCAACUGUUUAUGCUAUCUGGACUUCCUGACACAGUUUUUGAAAUUACAGAGCUUCAGUCACUGAAACUUGAAAUCAUUAAUAAUGUCAUGAUACCAGCCACCAUUGUGCAACUGGAUAACCUCCAGGAGCUGUCAUUGUACCAAUGUUCUGCAAAGAUCCACAGUGCAGCCUUGGCAUUUCUGAAAGAAAAUCUGAAAGUCUUGAAUGUCAAAUUUGAUGAUUUUAGAGAACUGCCACCUUGGAUGUAUGGACUCCGAAAUCUGGAAGAGCUCAGCUUAAUCGGUUCUUUGUGCCAUGACAUUUCUAAAAAUAUAACUUUGGAGUCUUUUCGAGAACUUAAGAACCUUAAAGUCCUGUACAUUAAAAGUAAUUUGUCCAAAGUCCCACAAUCUGUGGUUGAUGUUUCAAGUCACCUUCAAAAAAUGUGCAUUCACAAUGACGGCACAAAACUGGUGAUGCUCAACAACCUGAAGAAAAUGGUCAAUUUGACAGAAUUAGAGUUGGUGCACUGUGACUUGGAGCGUAUUCCUCAUGCUGUUUUCAGUCUUGUCAGCCUCCAGGAAUUAGACUUGAAGGAAAACAAUCUCAAAUCCAUAGAGGAAAUUGUUAGCUUCCAACAUCUUAGGAAACUUACAAUCCUAAAGCUGUGGCACAACAGUAUAACCUACAUUCCAGAGCACAUAAAGAAGCUCACUAGUCUAGAACGGCUUUCUUUUAGUCACAACAAGAUAGAGGUUCUCCCAUCCCACCUUUUUCUGUGCAACAAAAUUAGAUACUUAGACUUAUCAUACAAUGACAUCCGAUUCAUCCCCCCUGAAAUUGGGGUGCUCCAAAGCUUACAGUACUUUUCAAUCACUUGUAACAAAGUGGAAAGUGUACCAGAUGAGCUAUACUUCUGCAAAAAACUGAAGACACUAAAGAUCGGGAAAAACAGCUUGUCUGUUCUCUCUCCUAAAAUUGGAAAUCUGGUGUUAUUAUCCUAUUUGGACAUUAAAGGAAACCAUCUGGAAGUUCUCCCCCAUGAACUGGGUGAAUGCAGAGCUCUGAAAAAGAGUGGUCUGGUGGUGGAAGAUGCCUUGUUUGAAACCCUGCCCUUGGAUGUCAGGGAACAGAUGAAGGCAGAAUAAUGUCUAUUUCCCAGUUCUUUGACAGAAACUUGUCUCUGCCAAAUGCCUUGUACAUAACAGCUAGCCUGAAUAUGCCUUUAAAGUCUAUUUUUUAAUUUCUUGAUUCCCUUUUGACAUAAAGUUUUCUGUAAAGACACUUUUGAACUAAGUAUAUAUGCAUAUUUUUGUAUCCAUUUUCCCUUGUUCUCCCUCCAGCCUGGUGUUUAGUUUUUAAUUUUGCCGUGAUACUGUGGGCCUUCCGUAGCCCUUACUUUGUAUUGGUGAAAUCAAAUGGGUUAUAGCCACCUUAAAAAAAAUAAUGGGUUGGCUCAAAAUAAGGUCAGCAUAUUUCAAAUUAUAUAAUGGAGGUAACCAAUGUUAAGUAGAUGAAUGCAUGGUUACUAUAGCAACACUAAUCCAUGCUUUGUAAGCCAUCACUCAGUCCUUUGAAAUGGCCAGGUCCCCUGUCCAGUUUUUAUUCCAGUUAUGGGUAAUUGUAGCUUCUGCAGGUCAGAUUGCCCUGUUCUUGAAGCCUAAUUUUGGCAAUCCAGUAGUCCUUCAUGGAUAAGAGCUGCUUCCUUGCUUCUGGCACUGGAUUGAGAAGAGCUUUCUGUGUGCAUAGAACAUUUCCUGCCACUGCUGGUAAGAGAAGCCUUGUUCUCUAGGUUUCUAAAUUAAAACUGUGCUUCUGGAUAUCAUACUCAAAUGUCACUGACUCUAAUUCCAUCUUUGUGAUUCUCAGGCAUGAUCAGAAGCUCUGUUAGAGAUUCUGUUUCAACAAAAUGCUGUACAGCAACAUUCUCAUUUUGCCCUCUGCUUUGUAUGUGUUGGUGCUCCCCAGUGUACAUUUGCAUGUUUGUGCAAGCUGCAGCCAUGGAACGAUAAGCCUAUAGAAAUUGUGUAAGCCAUAUCAAACCCUGCGGCAAUCAGCAAAAGAAGUCUGCCAACUGCAGACCUCCAGUCACUUAGAAUCAUAGAAUCGUAGAGUUGGAAGAGACCACAAGGGCCACCCAGUCCAACCCUCUGCCUUGCAGGAAAUCUCAAUCAAAGCAUCCCCGACAGAUGGCCAUCCAGCCUCUGCUUAAAGACCUCCAAAAACAGAGACUCCACCACACUCCAAGGAAGGAGUGUGUUCCACUGUCGAACAGCCCUUACUGCUCUGGAGAAUUCUCAUUAUUCUCUCUGGAGCUUCUUCAGAACAAGCAGGUUAAAGAAUACUAGUUUCCUUUAAAAUACUUCUUGUUCUUGUAUAUGUAUCAAAAGCCUUUACUACUAUGGCUCGUAUCAUAUUGCAUGUAUUUUGUGGCACAUUCACUUUCUAAAAUGAAAUGAUAGAUACUCAUUAAGCUGUUGUUUUUAAUAUUUUAUAAUUGUUUAAAAUCAGAGAUUUUAAAAUAUUGUUGAGUAAUGUCAUGAAACAAGCUCAGGUAAAUGGUCUGUCGGACUUCUUUUUUAUUUAUAUUUACUCUUAGUGUAUGUGUAUACUUUAUAUUAUUUGGAUAUAUUUGAAAAGCUCUUGCAAGGUCAUGAAGUAACAUCAGUGAAGAAGUGCCAUAUGUAUUUGAUCAUUUUGCUUAAUAUAUUUCAAAAUCUGUAUCUUGUGUAUAUGUUGAUUAUACAUAUAGAAUCAAUGCUGUCUAAAUAAAAUUUCCUUCAUUGUAGCA